Long non-coding RNA from Anguilla rostrata (American eel), 1598 nucleotides. RefSeq lists it as uncharacterized. The record is from RefSeq and is a predicted model, not a curated record. The transcript has 2 exons. Lineage: Eukaryota; Metazoa; Chordata; Actinopteri; Anguilliformes; Anguillidae.
GGCAAACAGCACCAUGUCCAGAUUACUCCUGCAGUAAGAGGAUGAUAAAGCUGGACUGGUUGGAGGAAGAUAAUUUAUUUCGAAACAAGGUCUCCGUUUUCUAAGAAGAAGAGGACCAUGUCAAACUCAUCACUUUUCACACUGGCUGCAUACGAAGGCAUAGAAGACCAGAAAUACAUAUUUGCAGCUGUACUAAUUUUACUGUAUCCGGUUACACUUUCUGCAAACGUGCUGCUCAUUUAUGUUAUAUGUGUAGAAAAAAGCCUGCAUAAGCCCAUGUACAUUUUCAUUUGUAAUUUAGCUUGCAUUGGAUUGUAUGGUGCCUCCGGGUUAGCCCCCUUCCUCUUAAACAGGCUUCUGAAUGGUGACACUCACAUUUCAAGAGUUUCUUGUCUGCUUCAAAUCUUCAACAUAAACACGUAUGGGGGAUGCGAGAUUGCGAACCUUAUGGUCAUGGCUUACGACCGGUACGUCUCAGUUUGCUUCCCUCUCUCAUACGAGAGGAUGAUGAGCUUCUCUAAGGUUGUGGCUUCCGUCGCCUUCGUCUGGCUGUUUCCAUUCUGCAGAUGCACAGUUACCCUGUCGAUAACUGCGCAACUUGAACUGUGUGGAAGUAUUAUCGAAAAAGUUUACUGCGACAACUUUUCGGUGGUUAAACUGUCAUGCUCGGGCAUCUCUCAAAUCAACAUAUACAGUUCAACGGUCACAUUCUUUUCUGUCGUGCUGCCAUUUUUUGUUAUUUUAUAUUCUUAUUCCAGAAUCAUUUUUAUAAGUCUUAAUUUGACUAAAGGUAAGCAGAAAAAAGUCUUGAGUACUUGCAUUCCUCACUUAGUUGUGAUACUGAACUUUUUACUGGGUGCUUCUUUUGAGCUUUUUCAAAGUCGAUUUGAUAUGACUCAUCUACCCUAUGCUAUCCGAGUGGUACUUUCACUGUAUUUCCUGUUAUUCUCUCCAGUUUUAAAUCCAAUAAUAUAUGGGGCCAAAACGCAAAAAAUAAACGCUGCCUUAAAAAAGAUGUGGUUUGUGAACUGUGAAAUUAAGAAGCAAUUGGACGUUAACACAUUUAGGGCCUUAUUUACGAAGACCUUUAGCAUGUGCAAAAAACCUUUUAGCAUAUGCAAAAAAUCUGUAACAUGACGCACACUGGCCUGGUCUGAAUUUGACACUGGACCAUUUGGUGGGCUGGGGGGUGUCACAGUGAGUAGAUAGUCGAGUCCUGUGUGCGUCUGGAUUCGUUUCUCAGGUCCGUUUUUGUGCGACCUUUGCUCGAGCGUCUCCCUUUUGUUUCUGUCUUCUAACAAUAACAAUGAUUGGUCAUGGUAUUAGUUUUGCACCAAUCAUUGGUUGUGCUCUUAGUUUUUGCACAUUGCUACAGCCUUAGUAAAUCAGGCCCUUAGUUACUGUAAAUAUUCCAUAUUUCAGCUCUUCUGAGCAGGCCAGAGAUGGUUGCCAUGGCACCAGUGUGAGAACGUUGACGCGGUCUUUGGAUGUGCCGAUGGCUUCUGACUGCCCAGCUCGACUUAAAACUGCACCUAGCACUGCUACUAACUGCAUUGGUCUGUGUGACGAGAGACACAAUAAAAUCCAUCGCCACUGGU